Molecule: ribosomal RNA, 26 nt
Filed under: Acer heldreichii
Lineage: Eukaryota; Viridiplantae; Streptophyta; Magnoliopsida; Sapindales; Sapindaceae
Description: partial 25S ribosomal RNA
Source: RNAcentral
GCGACCCAGGUCAGGCGGGAUUACCC